Molecule: long non-coding RNA, 1981 nt
Organism: Eptatretus burgeri (inshore hagfish)
Lineage: Eukaryota; Metazoa; Chordata; Myxini; Myxiniformes; Myxinidae
Source: Ensembl
UUCAAACCAUAAUAAAAAUAAAGUGCAUUUAAAAAAAAAAAUGUAAACAAAUGUGAGGAAUGUCUUUUGCAAAGAGAAGACAAAAACGGGUCGUGCCUAUGCCGAUCAUAAUAGGACAGCCAGUGAGUUUGUGUACUUUUAUAAAUAAUCGAGCAGGCUAGAAGAACCUUGAAAUGUGAAUUGAUGUCAGAAAUAGUACCUGAUCCAAUGUCUACCAAAGUUUUGCACAUCAUUGUGAUAAAAUUAAUGAUAGGGUCCAAGCUGUGUUUGUUGCCAACACAUUCUUGGAAAUGAAGUAAACGUUUUUAAAUUAAUAAUUACCAUCAUCAUCAAUGUACCAUACUUACUCUUUACAUAGCCUUGGUGCUGCCGAUGGAGUCUCUUGGACAGGUUUACACUGGGUGGUUUGCCAUUGCCUUCCCAACAGUCAAUCGGAGCAGGAAUUCGGAAUUUGGCCAAGGUGGUGGCGAUAAUUGGCCUACUCUUCGUGAAAGCUUUGUGACAUAAGUGGGCAAACAGAUUUUAUGUCAGAGCUUCGCCCAAGAUUUUCUACGCAGUAAGCGCACAAUCCUUUGGGCUGUAAUUUGUUAUUGAAGAGCGAAUUUGUCAAAGAUUUCUCAUGUUGCUGUCUUCUUCUGUAUGCAGCACAGGCUGUUGGGUGGCAUCAAUGGCUGAGGGUGCGGCUCUGCCACCGAUGCGGUGCCCUGGUUUGGGCGGGAAUUUGGAAUCUGUUCGUGGUGCUGGCGAUAGCUCGCCUACCCUUCGCGAAGGACACCACUGGAUCUUUAACGUCCAUCCGAGGGACAGCACACACAUCGAUGAAACACCGAUUCCAACGGUGUGGAAGAAUGUGUUUUCAACCCCCUCAAGAACAGCAAGGUGGGAAGUCGGAGCAUCAGCCCAGCGUGUGGUGGAGACAGAGAAACAAAGAUGUGUAAUGUUUGUGGUGUGGGUUGAUAUUCUGGAUGGUUGUAUAUCCCCGGACAGUUCUCUCGAACAAGACAGCUCAUCCAUCUCCCUGGAGCGACCCAGAGAUCCCCCACAUCCAGGACGGUGGAACCCCCCCCACCCCCCUUCACAAAGUCAGGACUACAACAGAUUUGGAGAGAGAAGGAGAGAAAAGAGGGAAAGGGCAGGUCCAUAAGGACCGAUCGGCACUCUGACCCUGACCACGCUGCCCUAACGAAUCCAGGCAGCAGGGAAGAAUGGGGAAGAUUUGGCACCCAACUUGCAUUGGGCAGUUCAAACACUGUGAAGAGGUGUCCCCAAUAGUUGCUGUGUGAUGUGUUAUUAAACUUGGUCCUGCAAUGUGGAAGAAGCAUCAUCUCAUAUGACCUGGUACUGCCUUUCUAUACGACAAUGUUGAUCAGUUUGCUAGCUGUUUGGCAUUUCAGCCUGAGGGAGUAUGGUUCAUUUCAGAAAAUUUGAUUGUGUUCGUUGCUAUGGGAAAAGUGGUUCUAUUGGGGCUCUAAUUGUGUAGACUAAGGUAUAUUAACCCUGUAGCAUCUCCAUCUGCACUUACGAGCCACCACGCAUACCGCCCCCCCCUUGUAUUUUUCCUUGGAAUACACCCAUAAGCUCCUCUGUCAUUAGAAAUGCACUUACCCUCACUGCAAGUGUCAAACCAAGUGGUAAUGCUCACAGUUAUUCCCAUGCCUUAUUUCAUAUUUUCUCCUCCAUGGCAUGGAAUUAUCACAGUAGCUCAUUCAAAAAGUGUCCUUCAAAGUCAAGUUGAGCACACUGAACUCUCUAACCAGAAUUCAUCAGCAGGUGGAUUUGAGUUAUCCGCUGUAAAGCCAUUAAGUGCACUGAAUUUGCUGAUGCGCUGCUAUUUCUGGGAUGUUUGGUGGAAACGUCCAUGCAGAAUGAUUUUCCUCUUCCCAGCAUGCCAUUCUCAAUUUUUCCUUCCAUAUCGUGGCGACUUGCUGUGUUUUACAUUACCUCAUUACAUCCCCAAGCUUGCUUUUCCUGUCAAUGUAUU